Molecule: ribosomal RNA, 880 nt
Filed under: uncultured bacterium
Lineage: Bacteria
Description: bacterial SSU rRNA
Rfam family: Bacterial small subunit ribosomal RNA
Source: RNAcentral
AGCCCGGGGAAACUCGGAUUAAUACCGCAUAACAAUAAUAAUUCGCAUGGAUUAUUAUUUAAAGAUUUAUCGGUUACAGAUGGGCAUGCGUCCCAUUAGUUAGUUGGUGAGGUAACGGCUCACCAAGGCAUCGAUGGGUAGGGGACCUGAGAGGGUGAUCCCCCACACUGGUACUGAGACACGGACCAGACUCCUACGGGAGGCAGCAGUGAGGAAUAUUGGCCAAUGGACGCAAGUUUGAACCAGCCAUGCCGCGUGCAGGAUGACGGCCCUAAGGGUUGUAAACUGCUUUUAUUCGGGAAUAAACCCCUUUACGUGUAGAGGGCUGAAUGUACCGAAAGAAUAAGCACCGGCUAACUCCGUGCCAGCAGCCGCGGUAAUACGGAGGGUGCAAGCGUUAUCCGGAUUUAUUGGGUUUAAAGGGUGCGUAGGCGGGACAUUAAGUCAGUGGUGAAAGCCUGUGGCUCAACCAUAGAAUUGCCAUUGAUACUGAUGUUCUUGAGUAUGAUUGAAGUUGGCGGAAUAUGGCAUGUAGCGGUGAAAUGCAUAGAUAUGCCAUAGAACACCGAUAGCGAAGGCAGCUAACUAAGUCAUAACUGACGCUGAGGCACGAAAGCGUGGGGAUCAAACAGGAUUAGAUACCCUGGUAGUCCACGCUGUAAACGAUGAUAACUCGCUAUUGGCGAUAUACGGUCAGUGGCUGAGCGAAAGCAUUAAGUUAUCCACCUGGGGAGUACGAUCGCAAGGUUGAAACUCAAAGGAAUUGACGGGGGCCCGCACAAGCGGUGGAGCAUGUGGUUUAAUUCGAUGAUACGCGAGGAACCUUACCAGGGCUUAAAUGUACCGUGCUAGUUUCGGAAACGAGACGUUCUUCGGACCG